AAUGGUUUUGGGAAAGAUAUAUUAUUUUCCACACACGACCCCAUGGUGAACACAUGACCAUCUACUGCAUAUUGGUCUAUCCCAUCUUCAAUGAAAUUCACAGAGGCGUUCCCGUGACCUGGCAAAGGAUUGCUCCCUAUGUUGGGAUUGUCCUCCUUGAAGGUAAGCCAUUUUGCAUUAAUCAAUUCUUGCACUUUAGAUUUUAGGGCUUGACAAUCUUCAAUGGAAUGCCCAACGG
This 238-nucleotide long non-coding RNA is filed under the name Cicer arietinum (chickpea). RNAcentral's name for it is "long non-coding RNA (CARI_LNC000546)". Lineage: Eukaryota; Viridiplantae; Streptophyta; Magnoliopsida; Fabales; Fabaceae. The record is from RNAcentral.